UACGAAGGGGGCUAGCGUUGUUCGGAAUUACUGGGCGUAAAGCGCGCGCAGGCGGUUCUUCAAGUCAGUGGUGAAAGCCCGGAGCUCAACUCCGGAACUGCCAUUGAAACUGUAGAACUUGAGGAUGAGGGAGGUGAGUGGAAUUCCCAGUGUAGAGGUGAAAUUUGUAGAUAUUGGGAAGAACACCGGUGGCGAAGGCGGCUCACUGGCUCAUUUCUGACGCUCAGGCGCGACAGCGUGGGGAUCAAACAGG
RNAcentral lists this ribosomal RNA (253 nucleotides) under uncultured bacterium. RNAcentral's name for it is "partial 16S ribosomal RNA". It matches the Rfam family "Bacterial small subunit ribosomal RNA", at positions 524 to 776 of the family's 1533-position model. The record is from RNAcentral.